Molecule: ribosomal RNA, 497 nt
Filed under: uncultured bacterium
Lineage: Bacteria
Description: partial 16S ribosomal RNA
Rfam family: Bacterial small subunit ribosomal RNA
Source: RNAcentral
GAUGAACGCUGGCGGCGUGCCUAAUACAUGCAAGUCGAGCGAACGGACGAGAGGCUUGCUUCUCUGAUGUUAGCGGCGGACGGGUGAGUAACACGUGGAUAACCUACCUAUAAGACUGGGAUAACUUCGGGAAACCGGAGCUAAUACCGGAUAAUAUUUUGAACCGCAUGGUUCAAAAGUGAAAGACGGUCUUGCUGUCACUUAUAGAUGGAUCCGCGCUGCAUUAGCUAGUUAGUAAGGUAACGGCUUACCAAGGCAACGAUGCAUAGCCGACCUGAGAGGGUGAUCGGCCACACUGGAACUGAGACACGGUCCAGACUCCUACGGGAGGCAGCAGUAGGGAAUCUUCCGCAAUGGGCGAAAGCCUGACGGAGCAACGCCGCGUGAGUGAUGAAGGUCUUCGGAUCGUAAAACUCUGUUAUUAGGGAAGAACAUAUGUGUAAGUAACUGUGCACAUCUUGACGGUACCUAAUCAGAAAGCCACGGCUAACUACGUG